UGUGGGGACCUUUCCACGGUCUCCGUGACGCAGCUAACGCAUUAAGUUCCCCGCCUGGGGAGUACGGCCGCAAGGCUAAAACUCAAAGGAAUUGACGGGGACCCGCACAAGCGGCGGAGCAUGCGGAUUAAUUCGAUGCAACGCGAAGAACCUUACCAAGGCUUGACAUAUAGAGGAAAGGUCUGGAAACAGUCCCCCCGCAAGGUCUCUAUACAGGUGGUGCAUGGUUGUCGUCAGCUCGUGUCGUGAGAUGUUGGGUUAAGUCCCGCAACGAGCGCAACCCUCGUUCUAUGUUGCCAGCACGUAAUGGUGGGAACUCAUGGGAUACUGCCGGGGUCAACUCGGAGGAAGGUGGGGAUGACGUCAAAUCAUCAUGCCCCUUAUGUCUUGGGCUUCACGCAUGCUACAAUGGCCGGUACAAAGGGCUGCAAUACCGUGAGGUGGAGCGAAUCCCAAAAAGCCGGUCCCAGUUCGGAUUGAGGUCUGCAACUCGACCUCAUGAAGUCGGAGUCGCUAGUAAUCGCAGAUCAGCAACGCUGCGGUGAAUACGUUCCCGGGUCUUGUACACACCGCCCGUCAAGUCAUGAAAGUCGGUAACACCUGAAGCCGGUGGCCUAACCCUUGUGGAGGGAGCCGUCGAAGGUGGGAUCGGUAAUUAGGACUAAGU
RNAcentral lists this ribosomal RNA (667 nucleotides) under Microbacterium deserti. RNAcentral's name for it is "bacterial SSU rRNA". It matches the Rfam family "Bacterial small subunit ribosomal RNA", at positions 821 to 1486 of the family's 1533-position model. The record is from RNAcentral. Lineage: Bacteria; Bacillati; Actinomycetota; Actinomycetes; Micrococcales; Microbacteriaceae.